Molecule: small RNA, 125 nt
Filed under: Marmota monax (woodchuck)
Lineage: Eukaryota; Metazoa; Chordata; Mammalia; Rodentia; Sciuridae
Source: RNAcentral
GCCGGGCGCAGUGGCACAUACCUGUAAUCCCAGCGACUCAGGAGGCUGAGGCAGGAGGAUCACAAGUUCAAAGCCAGCCUCAGCAACAGCAAGGUGCUAAGCAAUUCAGUGAUACCCUGUCUCUA